Molecule: ribosomal RNA, 399 nt
Filed under: Aquamicrobium lusatiense
Lineage: Bacteria; Pseudomonadati; Pseudomonadota; Alphaproteobacteria; Hyphomicrobiales; Phyllobacteriaceae
Description: bacterial SSU rRNA
Rfam family: Bacterial small subunit ribosomal RNA
Source: RNAcentral
AACGAACGCUGCGGCAGGCUUAACACAUGCAAGUCGAGCGCCCCGCAAGGGGAGCGGCAGACGGGUGAGUAACGCGUGGGAAUCUACCUUUUGCUACGGAAUAACUCAGGGAAACUCGUGCUAAUACCGUAUGUGCCCUUCGGGGGAAAGAUUUAUCGGCAAAGGAUGAGCCCGCGUUGGAUUAGCUAGUUGGUGAGGUAAAGGCUCACCAAGGCGACGAUCCAUAGCUGGUCUGAGAGGAUGAUCAGCCACACUGGGACUGAGACACGGCCCAGACUCCUACGGGAGGCAGCAGUGGGGAAUAUUGGACAAUGGGCGCAAGCCUGAUCCAGCCAUGCCGCGUGAGUGAUGAAGGCCCUAGGGUUGUAAAGCUCUUUCAACGGUAAGAUAAUGACGGUA